GCCUGCAUAGCUCAGUUGGUUAGAGUGUGGUGUUGAUAAUGCCAAGGUUGCAGGUUCGGUCCCUGCGUGGGGCA
Podarcis lilfordi (Lilford's wall lizard) is the source of this 74-nucleotide non-coding RNA. NCBI's taxonomy places the organism in Eukaryota, Metazoa, Chordata, Lepidosauria, Squamata, Lacertidae. The record is from the annotation of a GenBank genome assembly.